CAGUGUUUUUUAAUAUAUUACUGACCGUGAAAUAACGUACAGUUUGUGUUUCAGGAUUUUGUGUUAAUAUUGUGUAUUUUAACUUUGUUAUAUUAUUUAUUAUCUACUAUUGUAAUGAUGGAAUUUGUUAUCGUUUUGAUAUUUUGUGUGGUUCUUGUGAUUGCUGUAAUGGUAAUUGGUUCCGGAAUGGGGAAAGCUACUUCUUCGCAGCGUCAGAUGGACAUCAUUAACGUCGCUCAGAACUUAUAUGUUUUAAUCAGGAAAGGCGACUUGAAGAAAUGUGACGUUACGCAGACGACCACGUUUCUUCUCAACAUCGCAAAGUCAACUGUUCUCAAGUACUACAAGAAAGACAUUGAAGAAGUUUCAACACCAGGAAAAAAGAGGAAAAAAAGGCCACAGGAAGGAAAGUCACUUGACACAGUCGACGAUUUCACAGUAAAUGCAAUCAGGAAUGCAAUUUACAGGAUGUACGCUGAAGGUUUGAAUGUUACAGUCGACACCAUUUUGAAAGAAAUCAGGGAAAGACAAAUAGAUUAUUAUGGUGGAAGAUCAAGUCUUCAUAAAUUGUUAAAGAAGAUGGGAUUUUCAUGGACAACUGUUGAUGGACGAAAAGCUUUGAUAGAGAAUGAAAACAUAGUAUUGCAGCGAAUAGAUUUCUUGAGAAAGUAUAAAGAAGAAAAAGAAAGAGGUGCCAAUUUCAAUUUGUUGAUGAAACAUGGAUUUUCCAGAGAGGCAAGGCAUUAAUUUAUUUGAAAAUUUGUUCUGUGGUCCAAUACAAAGUAUUUCAUUUCCAUUU
Bacillus rossius redtenbacheri is the source of this 799-nucleotide long non-coding RNA. RefSeq lists it as uncharacterized. The record is from RefSeq and is a predicted model, not a curated record. NCBI's taxonomy places the organism in Eukaryota, Metazoa, Arthropoda, Insecta, Phasmatodea, Bacillidae. The transcript has 3 exons.